This 1001-nucleotide ribosomal RNA is filed under the name Salmonella enterica. RNAcentral describes it as "bacterial SSU rRNA". It matches the Rfam family "Bacterial small subunit ribosomal RNA", at positions 1 to 991 of the family's 1533-position model. Lineage: Bacteria; Pseudomonadati; Pseudomonadota; Gammaproteobacteria; Enterobacterales; Enterobacteriaceae. RNAcentral also lists the same sequence under 1 other name. The record is from RNAcentral.
AAAUUGAAGAGUUUGAUCAUGGCUCAGAUUGAACGCUGGCGGCAGGCCUAACACAUGCAAGUCGAACGGUAACAGGAAGCAGCUUGCUGCUUUGCUGACGAGUGGCGGACGGGUGAGUAAUGUCUGGGAAACUGCCUGAUGGAGGGGGAUAACUACUGGAAACGGUGGCUAAUACCGCAUAACGUCGCAAGACCAAAGAGGGGGACCUUCGGGCCUCUUGCCAUCAGAUGUGCCCAGAUGGGAUUAGCUUGUUGGUGAGGUAACGGCUCACCAAGGCGACGAUCCCUAGCUGGUCUGAGAGGAUGACCAGCCACACUGGAACUGAGACACGGUCCAGACUCCUACGGGAGGCAGCAGUGGGGAAUAUUGCACAAUGGGCGCAAGCCUGAUGCAGCCAUGCCGCGUGUAUGAAGAAGGCCUUCGGGUUGUAAAGUACUUUCAGCGGGGAGGAAGGUGUUGCGGUUAAUAACCGCAGCAAUUGACGUUACCCGCAGAAGAAGCACCGGCUAACUCCGUGCCAGCAGCCGCGGUAAUACGGAGGGUGCAAGCGUUAAUCGGAAUUACUGGGCGUAAAGCGCACGCAGGCGGUCUGUCAAGUCGGAUGUGAAAUCCCCGGGCUCAACCUGGGAACUGCAUUCGAAACUGGCAGGCUUGAGUCUUGUAGAGGGGGGUAGAAUUCCAGGUGUAGCGGUGAAAUGCGUAGAGAUCUGGAGGAAUACCGGUGGCGAAGGCGGCCCCCUGGACAAAGACUGACGCUCAGGUGCGAAAGCGUGGGGAGCAAACAGGAUUAGAUACCCUGGUAGUCCACGCCGUAAACGAUGUCUACUUGGAGGUUGUGCCCUUGAGGCGUGGCUUCCGGAGCUAACGCGUUAAGUAGACCGCCUGGGGAGUACGGCCGCAAGGUUAAAACUCAAAUGAAUUGACGGGGGCCCGCACAAGCGGUGGAGCAUGUGGUUUAAUUCGAUGCAACGCGAAGAACCUUACCUGGUCUUGACAUCCAC